GCAUAUCAAUAAGCGGAGGAAAAGAAACCAACAGGGAUUGCCUCAGUAACGGCGAGUGAAGCGGCAACAGCUCAAAUUUGAAAUCUGGCCUCUUUGGGGUCCGAGUUGUAAUUUGUAGAGGAUGUUUCGGGUACCGCCUCGGUCUAAAUUUCUUGGAACAGAAUGUCAAAGAGGGUGAGAAUCCCGUCUUGGACCGGCGGUAGGGCCCAUGUGAAACUCCUUCGACGAGUCGAGUUGUUUGGGAAUGCAGCUCAAAAUGGGUGGUAAAUUUCAUCUAAAGCUAAAUAUUGGCCAGAGACCGAUAGCGCACAAGUAGAGUGAUCGAAAGAUGAAAAGCACUUUGAAAAGAGAGUUAAACAGUAUGUGAAAUUGUUGAAAGGGAAGCGCUUGCAACCAGACUUGAGCGCGGCGGUUCCCCCUUCCUUUUGGUUGGGUUACUCCGCCGUGUCCAGGCCAACAUCGGUUCUGGGGGUCGGUUAAAGGCUCGAGGAAUGUAUCUACUCCUUCGGGGGUAGACUUAUAGCCUCGGGUGUCAUGCGACCUCCCGGGACCGAGGAACGCGCUUCGGCUCGGAUGUUGGCGUAAUGGUUGUCAGCGACCCGUCUUGAAACACGGACCAAGGAGUCUAACAUCUAUGCGAGUGUUUGGGUGUCAAACCCGGAACGCGGAAUGAAAGUGAACGGAGGUAGGAAGCCGCAAGGCUGCACUAUCGACCGAUCCUGAUGUCUUCGGAUGGAUUUGAGUAAGAGCAUAGCUGUUGGGACCCGAAAGAUGGUGAACUAUGCCUGAAUAGGGUGAAGCCAGAGGAAACUCUGGUGGAGGCUCGCAGCGGUUCUGACGUGCAAAUCGAUCGUCAAAUUUGGGUAUAGGGGCGAAAGACUAAUCGAACCAUCUGGUAGCUGGUUCCUGCGA
RNAcentral lists this ribosomal RNA (912 nucleotides) under Exophiala xenobiotica. Its description in RNAcentral is "LSU rRNA". It matches the Rfam family "Eukaryotic large subunit ribosomal RNA", at positions 38 to 963 of the family's 3401-position model. Lineage: Eukaryota; Fungi; Ascomycota; Eurotiomycetes; Chaetothyriales; Herpotrichiellaceae. The record is from RNAcentral.